GCUUUUGAUGGCGCUGCUUCUGUAUCUCCAUGGCUCUGCCAACUAAACAAACACAGAGUUGUUACACGGCUGAAAGAGCUUUUAACUGUUCCCAACAGUCAGAUGUAUUUCAGGAUACCUAUAUAUGUUAAAAUGUAUGCAAAUCUUAAUUUAAAGAAGAAAAUUCUGCUGAGUCUUCUUAGUGCUUUUCUUUUCUUUGUGCAUGUGUAUUUUGUUUUGUUUUUAAAGACAAGAGUCUGAUUGGUUUUCAAGCUCAUACUUGGGGUGCAUACAUUUCCUUGUCUGACAUACUUGCACUGCUGUCAUGUCGGCUGGGUCUCCUCGGUGGGCCCAAGAUAUUAGGAAAGCCUCUCCUCUUUCCUUUUUCAUCUCCUUCUUUCUCUUUCUUGAUACUUUGCUUGAUCUUUGGCAAGAAACCAAUACGGCCACGCUUCUGCUCCAGGUUCCGAGCCUCUUUAGCUUUGACUCCGAGGUGCUUCAUGUAAGUAAGAAUCACAUACUGUAUGGUGGAACUCUUGUCUUCCUCCAAAGGUUGGGAUGUCAUCAGGACUUCCUCAAUUUUGGCAAUAAUCUGUUCUGCACAUGCUCUUUCCUUCUCCACUGCGUUCCGGUCACGAACCCUUUCUGCAUCCAACUUGGUCAACUCCCCCUCUGCCAGGGUCAAACCCAUACUAC
This 675-nucleotide long non-coding RNA is filed under the name Gallus gallus (chicken). Lineage: Eukaryota; Metazoa; Chordata; Aves; Galliformes; Phasianidae. The record is from RNAcentral.